CUGAGUGCUCUCUGCCCAGCUCCCUUGCGCUGCUUACUGAUGCCGGAGCCGGAAGAUGAUGUCAUAGACGGCUCCGGCAUCAGUAGGCAGCGCGAGGGAGCUGGACAGAGAGCACUCAG
Pelobates cultripes (western spadefoot toad) is the source of this 119-nucleotide non-coding RNA. The record is from the annotation of a GenBank genome assembly. Lineage: Eukaryota; Metazoa; Chordata; Amphibia; Anura; Pelobatidae.